GACGAACGCUGGCGGCGUGCUUAACACAUGCAAGUCGAACGGAAAGGCCCUGCUUUUGUGGGGUGCUCGAGUGGCGAACGGGUGAGUAACACGUGAGUAACCUGCCCUUGACUUUGGGAUAACUUCAGGAAACUGGGGCUAAUACCGGAUAGGAGCUCCUGCUGCAUGGUGGGGGUUGAAAAGUUUCGGCGGUUGGGGAUGGACUCGCGGCUUAUCAGCUUGUUGGUGGGGUAGUGGCUUACCAAGGCUUUGACGGGUAGCCGGCCUGCGAGGGUGACCGGCCACAUUGGGACUGAGAUACGGCCCAGACUCCUACGGGAGGCAGCAGUGGGGAAUAUUGCACAAUGGGCGGAAGCCUGAUGCAGCAACGCCGCGUGCGGGAUGACGGCCUUCGGGUUGUAAACCGCUUUCGCCUGUGACGAAGCGUGAGUGACGGUAAUGGGUAAAGAAGCACCGGCUAACUACGUG
This 468-nucleotide ribosomal RNA is filed under the name uncultured bacterium. RNAcentral's name for it is "partial 16S ribosomal RNA". It matches the Rfam family "Bacterial small subunit ribosomal RNA", at positions 28 to 507 of the family's 1533-position model. The record is from RNAcentral.